CCUACGGGGGGCUGCAGUGAGGAAUAUUGGUCAAUGGGCGUAAGCCUUAACCAGCCAAGUCGCGUGAGGGUUGAAGGUUCUAUGGAUCGUAAACCUCUUUUAUAAGGGAAUAAAGUGCGGGACGUGUCCCGUUUUGUAUGUACCUUAUGAAUAAGGAUCGGCUAACUCCGUGCCAGCAGCCGCGGUAAUACGGAGGAUCCGAGCGUUAUCAGGAUUUAUUGGGUUUAAAGGGUGCGUAGGCGGCCUUUUAAGUCAGCGGGGAAAGUCUGUGGCUCAAUCAUAGAAUUGCCGUUGAAACUGGGAGGCUUGAGUAUGUUUGAGGCAGGCGGAAUGCGUGGUGUAGCGGUGAAAUGCUUAGAUAUCACGCAGAACCCCGAUUGCGAAGGCAGCCUGCCAAGCCAUGACUGACGCUGAUGCACGAAAGCGUGGGGAUCAAACAGGAUUAGAUACCCUUGUAGUC
This 460-nucleotide ribosomal RNA is filed under the name uncultured bacterium. Its description in RNAcentral is "partial 16S ribosomal RNA". It matches the Rfam family "Bacterial small subunit ribosomal RNA", at positions 338 to 795 of the family's 1533-position model. The record is from RNAcentral.